UUUUGGAGGUAAAGGAUAUUUAUGGUAUAGAUUGUGUUGAUGGUUUCACAGGUAUAUACAUAUCUCCAAACACAUCAAGUUGUAUACAUUAACCAUCUACAGCUUUUUGUAUGUCAAUCUACCCCAAAAAAGAGGUUUUAGAAAAAAAACUAAUAGUAGGAGUAAAAAGACAGAGAAUUGAAAAAAAAUAAUAAAUAAAUAAGGAUUUGCAAUGGCUAUGCACCUAUUAGUCAGAUUUGUCUCCUUCAUCCUCUUGCCUUGCUCCCCCCAUCAUCUCACUCACAUAUUCCCACUCCCUUUCUCACUCGGUUCCUCACCUGCUUCACCAAUCUCUUUCUUGACAUUCUCAUGGGUCUCCUAAAUCAUUUCUCUAAGUUCCCUAUAAACUUCAACUCUGUCCUUCUCUGGAGCCAGGCAUUAUUUCUUAGAGGCUGUCAGGCCCAAGUUUAUAAUGCGAUCUCUUCCGUAGAGACCAUCCCCUCCCACAAAUAUAAAUCUGCCAUCACGAAAUAAAGAUGUAGGUUUUAAUCCUGGCAUUUUAUUCUCUGCUCCUGACUACUUUGUAAUUUGGGACAGGUGAAUUCUAAUAUCGGUAUUUCGAUGCCUUCUUGUGUUUGUUGUUCUGAGGGACUAGAGAGCUACAAACAUUUUAUAAAUAGCCCGCUUCAUUUGGCUGGCCCCUGAAUUCCCCAGAUGUCAGGACACCAGUUAAAAUAAUUUCUGAUGGCCUGAACCUGUUAUCACUUCAGGCUCUGAGCCCGGACCUUUGCAAAUCAGUCAGCAGAGAGGCGGUUUACUAUUCUCACAUUUUUAAAGGCUUCUUCUGUUAAUAUUGCUUGACCAGAUUUUCUUUCGCUAGAAGGCAUGAGAUCAGUGUUGUGACAUCUAACAACGGCUUUUGCUCCUCGUCCCGCAGUGUCUGGGGAAUUGGUCAACUCUGCCUGCCUCUGCGCCCUGUUUUUCACUGCUUUCUCUCCUGGCCUCUGCUCCUCAUUCCCAGCACCAAGAAAGGCUGGGGUGGGGAGAGGGCGGGAAGUAUGUCCUUUCUAAUCUAUGCCUCUUCUUAUUUCUUUUCUGUGCAGUGUGUAUACACCCACUCCUAACUCAUUUUCAGCUUUUGGUCAAUAAUUCGCUCAAAUAUUUACGGAGUGUCUUCUAUGCACAGGCACCAGGCAGCAGCAAAUCAGAGCUUACAGUCAAACAGCCGGGGGCGGGAGAGCAGACAUUAAACAACUAUUUGUCCACUUAAUGAUUUAAUUAAAAUUUUCAGAAGUGAUAGACGGGAAAGAUGCUAUGAGAACAUGCAAGUGAUGACCCUGCCCUGUCCAGAAGGUCGGGGAGGGCUUUCAUGAAGAAGUAACCUUGAGUUGAGUAGAAAUUAAGGAACAAAGUGGCUAGAGGAGGAGACAGAGGGAAUCAGAGGGGCAGACCAAGAGGUGAAAAGGGUGUGGCCAUUGGAGGCCCUGAAAUAAGGCUCUGGGUGUAGAGUGCAGAGAACAAGGGGCAAGUGCCACAAGAUGAUGAUGGUGAGGCAGGCGGGGCUGGGUUUUGCACAGCCCAGCAGGCCAUAUUAUGGAUUUGGGGCUCUACCUGGAGUAAUGAAAUUUGAAAGAUUCCCAGUCAUCCAUAUCGCCAAUUUCAAGGUCAGCUCUGUAACAGAAGAAAACACAUCCACAUAUAUUGAGACAUAGCCCAAAUCCUAACACCAUUGACAAUUUAUAGGGAACUCCUCCAGCAGCUGCUGCUCUGAGGCUCUACUGUCCUGCCCAGGAAUGUCCCCGGUUACAUCAUGUUAACUGAAACAGCGUUGCGGACAGCAGUCCUGCUAAACGUGCUCAGUCUGGUCCCACCUUGGCCAGAGAUGAGGCUCCUGCCUUCGUGCCAGCAUCACCCCUCAGUGAGUCCAGACAUCUGAUGUACAGCAUGAUGAUUAUAGUUGAUAAUACUGUACUGAAUACUGGAAAUUUGCUAAGAGAGUAGAUUUCAGGUGCUCUCAUGACAAAAAAAAGUGGUAACUAUGGGAUGAGAUGACAAGUUACUUAACUUCACUUAGUAAUCAUUUCACUGUGUAUAUGCAUAUCUAAUCAUCAUGGUGUACACCUUAAAUAUAUACAAUUUUUGUUUUUUAACUAAAUUUAGUUUUUUAUAAAGAGGUUUAAGUCCUCGGCCUCCCAUCUGUGGGCACAUGCAAGGGCACUGGUGAUGUUCAUAAAUGAGAGGCAGAUGGGGCAUUGGACAGAGUCUCACUGCGCAGACGAUCAUGGCUCCAAAUGGAGCCUGCACUGGGCAUCAGGCUGACAGCUGACAGUGGGCGGUCUUUCCGGGUACCAGUGAGAUGACCUCAGGCUGCUUGGCUGCCAACCAGCAACCUGGAACAGGCCGCCUUGCUCGGGUGUUUUUUCAGUCUCACUUCUUUCCACUUGGUCCCAUAGCCCCCUCUUCUCUCUAGCCCGUAGCAUCCAUGUCAGAUGUCUUCCAUUCACCCCUUCAGAUCCACUCUCCAUCCUCUUCCUGGCUCUGUGUUCCAGAAGUUUGACACAUGUGGACUACAUCAACGAGCUCCCUUGCCCUCCAGUUUCCAGUUGAAGUCAGCCCAUGGGAAGCACUAGCAGGAGAGAAGAGAAAGUUGAAUGAUGCUCUGGAACAAUAAAGCUUCCCUUCGUCCAGGAAGAUGAGCCCAUUGAUCCCGGAGUGCUCUGACAUACCACGCUGGACUUCUACGAGCUGAAAAGAUGAAAGACGUUCUCUUCUGUAGUGCAGAAUCAACCCACUUGGCUUUGCCACCACCCGACAGUGAAACGUCGCUAAACACAUGAAAAAACUUCCCAUACCCAGGAGAGCCGGGCCUUGACCCUGAAUCUCCAGGCUCUGAGAAAUCAGAGACAUGGUCCAUUCCAACGUCUGAGACCCCGAGAGAGAAAGCCCAAGGUCGAAGUGAGUUACUGCCACAUCCUGGGACCUGCAACUACCACAAACUCCUCAAGGCAGGAACAGAAACAAAAGCAUUCUUCAAGCCCAGAGUCUGCAGAGUCCCUGGCAAGAAAUAUUUGUUAAGUGGAUAAAUGAAUGAAUGAGAAAAAAAUAAAGGAGCUAAAGAUAAUAGUGGAUUAAAGUCACAGGAGCGACAACCCCCGGCCUUCCAUAAAGCAGCAGUCUGCCCCCAGAAACAAGCGCAGCAUUGCCUGGAGCAGGAGAAGGGCGGCAAGGCUCCCAGCAAGCGGCCAGUCCAGCAGCUGCAGAGAAAGAGACAUUUUUGGAGUCAGAGACAAGUUGCAGGGUUUGUCCAUAGCCCUUUAAUUUUCUAUUACCCCGUGAUUCUUUCCACUUCGGUGACACUCCCAGAUGCUACGAACUGAGCUUUUGGAUCUCCCCAAGGAAUUCAGCAGUGUCAGAUCCUUAGACACAAGACACUCAAUCGUCGGAGGAAUUACUAAAGGGCUCUCCCACCACUGGUUCCAGGGAGGGCUUCCCACUGACAGCCAAAAUAAAAAAAGAAAAAAGGUGC
Equus caballus (horse) is the source of this 3505-nucleotide long non-coding RNA. NCBI's taxonomy places the organism in Eukaryota, Metazoa, Chordata, Mammalia, Perissodactyla, Equidae. The record is from Ensembl.